RNAcentral lists this ribosomal RNA (84 nucleotides) under uncultured bacterium. RNAcentral describes it as "partial 16S ribosomal RNA". The record is from RNAcentral.
UCAUGAGAGCUGUCUGUACCCGAAGUCAUCUUAGCCAACCUGAAAAGGAGGCGGAUGCCUAAGGUAUGUAUGGUGAUUGGGAUG